Long non-coding RNA from Monopterus albus (swamp eel), 416 nucleotides. RefSeq lists it as uncharacterized. The record is from RefSeq and is a predicted model, not a curated record. Lineage: Eukaryota; Metazoa; Chordata; Actinopteri; Synbranchiformes; Synbranchidae. The transcript has 4 exons.
UGCACCCUGGAUCACCUACAAUAAAUUCACAACUAUUUUGAUAAUUGUAUAGAAAUAACAUGAAAAGAUGAGAAACAAAGGAAUUAAGAAACAGGUAGAGAAGAGGAGAGGAGUUGGGUCCAUAAUGACAUUUUAACAUCUCGAACAGAGUGAGGAGAGAGGAAGUGAUGGAGGGCAGGAUGAAGUGUAAGACCUUUCAUGUGCAUGUGAGGAGAGAGAAAGAGGUGGAGGGCAGGAUGAAGUUUAAGACGUCUCAUCUACAUGGAGUAUGGAGGAGAGGAAAAAAACAAAACGAGGCGAGGCCAGGCCGGCACAGGCGCUGCUGCUGCGGGCGAACCGUGAGGGGCUCCCCUUCACGGCCCGUCCCCCGAGGGGAGCGCGCCCCCUUCGGGUCAGGCAGUGCCAGGCCGGCACAG